Oryzias sinensis (Chinese medaka) is the source of this 2238-nucleotide long non-coding RNA. The record is from Ensembl. NCBI's taxonomy places the organism in Eukaryota, Metazoa, Chordata, Actinopteri, Beloniformes, Adrianichthyidae.
GUGAAAUCAUUUUCAACUCAGGUUCAAAAAGGAAAUUAGAUUUUUAUAUUUUUAUCUUAAAUAACAGAUGUUUAAAUUGCGCGUUUGUGCGUCGUGAUGUGCGGUCUAAACGGGAUGUUGUACACGGACAAGAAUCAGCGCAUCCUCUGCGGUCCUCGUUUGUUUUUACCAGCUCCAUGAUGUUGACAUAAAGAAGCGCUUCGCUUGGGUGGCGUGCGCUCCUACAGUCAGUUCCUGCUUCCUGGGCGACACUUGUGUGCUGGAUGGCUCCGCCAUAACAGCAGCAGCAGCAGCUCCGUUUACCGCUGAUCAUCUGAUGCUGCGUGUUCGUGCGAACAUCAGGGAACAUCAUCUCCUCCAAGGUUCUCCAUCAGUCUGCUUAGUGACGACCAGAGGGUUCGACAAGUCCUUCAAAUGUUCAGAAGGGCAGACAAGAGGCGGGAAUCUGCCACACAAGGUCUCCCGGAGUCUUCUAAGUUCUAGCUUGACCUGCCAGACCUUUAUUGAUCCGAGGGGCAGAGCAGAAGGAGGCAGCAACUCACUGUUUUGUAUUAAACUUCCUUUCUCUGGAACAUGCCUCUCAACAGAGGUGAGGGAGGUUGGAGUAGAAUUAAUCACUCCUUGUUUCCUAGUGUGCUGGCCUCAGGGAAGUGCACCCCACACUUCCAGACGCAAACAAACAUUAGCUAGUUCCUCCUCUUCUACUUCAUCCAUUUAUCUUCGCUCAGACCACCUCUUUUUCUGCUGAGUGCUGGUUAUCUGAUGUGUUGGACCGAAAUAAAAAGUUUUUUUUACUUGUUCAAACUUGAGCUACUCAGCAUGCAGAAUUUCAGAAACCAUAGUUCAAAAACUGUGACACACAACACAGUACGUACUAUAAACUUCACUGGCCCACUUCAAUAAAAUGAAUGGUUUUAGUGUUUUUGACAUGUUCUUGUGAAAUUUUGGUGAUGAUGGAAGACGUGUUUAGAAAAUUAAGUCUAAAAGUGCAUUUAUGAGUAUUUCUUCAUUCAAAUCAUUGUGAAUCGGGAGAAUAUGUAAAAAAAAAAAAGGCAAUUUAAAAAAAAAAGCUUAGUUGAAACAUAGAAAAUACACUGGGUGGGCCACAAACUUCCUGCUCUGCUCCAUACCGAUGAUUCUACAUGUAGAUAAAUAUGCAUAUUUAGCGCUAUACUAACAUGUUGGAAGACUCAAAGUGCUUUACACUCACAGUCCCAUUCACACAUGCACACAGACAUGCACACACUGAUGGCAGUUCCAGGCCUACGCUAGCACCAACCUGGAGCCACCAGGUGCAAUGUGGGGUUCAAUGUCUUGCCCAAGGACAAUUGAAUGGGUUAGUUCAAAAGGGGCCCAAGUCCACAAUUUUUUAAAAUAGAGAUAUUAUAUGUUCUAUGGUCUUCAAGGGAAAAGCUAUCUGAUUAUGUGCAAAAAAGUCCCAAGUCCAUUGUAAUGUAUUGACUAUGCGUGACAUUAAAAAUGCAUUAAGAGCAAAAUCCCUGGACUUGGGCCUGUCUUGCAUGGGUUUAGCUUUAUCCCAUAGAUGGCAGCACUAGUUAUCUAAUAUGGCAGCGCCCCUGUUUAAUUCAAGAAGGGCCCAAGUCCAGAGAAUUUAGUUUGCUAGUCCUCUGAAAUUAUAAAAGUGAGGUGCUUCAUAUUAUAGCAUUUGUAAGCUAUGAACUGGUGCUAAAUCUGGGUAAAGUAUUAGUCAUUUGGUGUAGCCUCCUUUUAAGCUAUGCAAUUAAAAUAAUUUCCCGGAAAAACAAACCUCUUGGACUUGGGCCCCCUUUGAACUAACAUAUUCAAUUUGACACGUGGGCGGGAAACGCGGGAACCAGACCUGCCAUCCUCUGGUCAUAGGUCGACCCCUCUACUUGUGCACCAUGACCCCAUGUUCGUGUGUGUUUUUCUCCUCCCAGCUGGCAUCUGGCUCAAACCUGUAGGGCUGGAUAGCUCGCCAUUUUUUGUUAUGCUGGUAAUGUUAGCCUGAGGGUGGCAGGGGCUGUAAGCUAGAGGGAGAGCAUGUAAACAGAGAGCUCUCAGUUAUGGGUGAUGGGAAGGGGGGCCGAGGUUGCUCCACACCAAGGGUCCCGCCCAUACUCAGAGGUGAGUUUCUGAUGGACUCCUGCCGCUCUGUAGAAACUAUGUGCUAGAAAAUGACACAGUUGUUGUAUUUUGGCUAAAAACAGCAUGAUCAUUAUUAAAAGACCACUGGGAACACUUUUACAACAGACUUUA